GAUGAACGCUGGCGGCAUGCCUAAUACAUGCAAGUCGAGCGGACAGACGGUGAGCUUGUUCCUCUGACGUUAGCGGCGGACGGGAGAGUAACACGUGGAUAGGAUACCUAUUAGACUGGGAUGAUAACGGGAGACCGGAUAUAAUAAUGGCUCAUAUAAUUUACGGCAUGGAUCAGUGGUGCUAGACGGCUUUGCUGUCACUUAUAGAGGUAUCCGGGUCGCAUUAGCUAGUUGGUAAGGUAACGGCGUACCAAGGCGACGAUGCGUAGCCGACCUGAGAGGAUGAGCAGCCACACUGGAACUGAGACACGGUCCAGACUCCUACGGGAGGCAGCAGUAGGGAAUCUUCCGCAAUGGGCGAAAGCCUGACGGAGCAACGCCGCGUGAGUGAUGAAGGUCUUCGGGUUGUAAAACUCUGUUAUUGGGGAAGAAAAGAUGUGUAAGUAGCUAUGCACGUCUUGACGGUACCUAAAGAGAAAGCCACGGCUAACUACGUG
Molecule: ribosomal RNA, 497 nt
Filed under: uncultured bacterium
Lineage: Bacteria
Description: partial 16S ribosomal RNA
Rfam family: Bacterial small subunit ribosomal RNA
Source: RNAcentral